UACGUAGGUGGCAAGCGUGUCCGGAUUUAUUGGGGUUUAAAGGGUGCGUAGGCGGUCUAUUAAGUCAUGGUGAAAUAUGGCAGCUUAACUGUCAGGGUGCCAUUGAUAUCUGGAUGGACUUGAGUUGAAGUCGAGGUUGGCGGAAUUGACGGUGUAGCGGUGAAAUGCUUAGAUAUCGUCAAGAACACCGAUAGUGAAGACAGCUAACUAGACUUAUACUGA
RNAcentral lists this ribosomal RNA (222 nucleotides) under uncultured bacterium. RNAcentral describes it as "partial 16S ribosomal RNA". It matches the Rfam family "Bacterial small subunit ribosomal RNA", at positions 524 to 743 of the family's 1533-position model. The record is from RNAcentral.